RNAcentral lists this long non-coding RNA (728 nucleotides) under Mytilus galloprovincialis (Mediterranean mussel). The record is from RNAcentral. Lineage: Eukaryota; Metazoa; Mollusca; Bivalvia; Mytilida; Mytilidae.
GCUUUGAACUAGCUUUCCGUUGUUGCGAGAACUCUAAUAUCGAUACUUUGUGUCUUUUGUACUUUGUGUCUUUUGUUUUUAUGUUAUUUUUUUUUGCGUUGAUUCGUGCCAAUCUGACGAGUCUAAGCCAUUUCAGACUAACUUGUAUAGAGUGUUCUUAAAUUCUUAAGUUGUGCUUAUACACCACUGUCGCAGGUGAGGAGAGGGUUGUACGCUCACACACAUGUUAAAAUCAGCCACAUUCUAUACCUUCAUGCAAGCCAGGAGUCUGUAACUCAGUGUCUGUCGUUGGUAAGUUGAUGUUUGUAAUGUUUGUUUUCCCUCGUUUUCUAUGGAUCAUAUUCGAGCUGUUGACUUCUCGUUUGAAUUCAGUCGUGUUAUGCCAUAAUGGCAUGUAAACAGUUCACUAUACAAUCUAGGUUUAACUCAUUGUUGAAGGCUUUAUAGUGACUUAUGGUUUCUUUAAACACGACAUUUGGACUCUGGUGGAUACUUGUCUCAAUUUCAUUCAUAAUUCAUCUCCUUUUUUUAUAUUUAUAUCAAAGCACGAAAAAGUUUUCCCUUGCCAUCACUUGCCAUCACGUGAAAUGCUUCCUCUAUUUUCUCUUUACCCAUCAAUACCAUUGCAUGUGAGUAAAUCAUAUCCUUUUUGAUAAAGGUCAUUAGAUAAAAAAAAUGGAGUCCUUUAAAAUGUUUGCUAGUUUUGCUAUUGAUUUGUACAAUAUUUC